RNAcentral lists this ribosomal RNA (380 nucleotides) under uncultured eukaryote. Its description in RNAcentral is "partial 18S ribosomal RNA". It matches the Rfam family "Eukaryotic small subunit ribosomal RNA", at positions 592 to 976 of the family's 1831-position model. The record is from RNAcentral.
CAAUAGCGUAUAUUAAAGUUGUUGCAGUUAAAAAGCUCGUAGUUGGAUUUGUGGCGUACGGUGUGUUCCGGGCACUUGUUGUCUGAGUAACCUGCUGUUGCCAUCCUUGGGUGGAACCUGUGCGGCAUUAGGUUGUCGUGCAGGGGAUGCCCAUCAUUUACUGUGAAAAAAUUAGAGUGUUCAAAGCAGGCUUAUGCCGUUGAAUAUAUUAGCAUGGAAUAAUGAGAUAGGACUUUUUUGCUAUUUUGUUGGUUUGCGCAAAGAGGUAAUGAUUAAUAGGGACAGUUGGGGGUAUUCGUAUUCCAUUGUCAGAGGUGAAAUUCUUGGAUUUUUGGAAGACGAACUACUGCGAAAGCAUUUACCAAGGAUGUUUUCAUUAA